Molecule: ribosomal RNA, 232 nt
Filed under: uncultured bacterium
Lineage: Bacteria
Description: partial 16S ribosomal RNA
Rfam family: Bacterial small subunit ribosomal RNA
Source: RNAcentral
CCUAGCGGCAGACGGGUGCGUAACAUGUGGGAAUCUGCCUUUUGGUUCGGAACAACACGGGGAAACCUGUGCUAAUACCGGAUAAGUCCUUACGGAGAAAGCUUUAUGCACCAUUGGAUGAGCCCGCACUUGAUUAGUUUGUUGGUAAGGUAAUGGCUUACCAAGGCAACGAUCAAUAGCUGUUCUUAGAGGAAGACCAGCCACAUUGGGACUGAGACACGGCCCAAACUCC